Molecule: ribosomal RNA, 498 nt
Filed under: uncultured Bacteroidota bacterium
Lineage: Bacteria; Pseudomonadati; Bacteroidota
Description: bacterial SSU rRNA
Rfam family: Bacterial small subunit ribosomal RNA
Source: RNAcentral
GCUUGCUUUUUGCUGACGAGUGGCGAACGGGUGCGUAACGCGUAUGUAACCUACCUUCUUCUGAGGAAUAGCCCAGAGAAAUUUGGAUUAAAACCUCAUGAUAAUAUUUAUUCGCAUGUUUAAAUAUUUAAAAUUUCGGUGGAAGAAGAUGGGCAUGCGUAACAUUAGUUUGUUGGUGAGGUAAUGGCUCACCAAGACUACGAUGUUUAGGGGGUCUGAGAGGAUGAUCCCCCACACUGGUACUGAGACACGGACCAGACUCCUACGGGAGGCAGCAGUGAGGAAUAUUGGUCAAUGGACGAAAGUCUGAACCAGCCAUGCCGCGUGAAGGAUGACUGCCCUACGGGUUGUAAACUUCUUUUGUAUAGGAAGAAACCCCUCUACGUGUAGAGGGUUGACGGUACUAUUCGAAUAAGCACCGGCUAACUCCGUGCCAGCAGCCGCGGUAAUACGGAGGGUCCGAGCGUUAUCCGGAAUCAUUGGGUUUAAAGGGUCCGC